UGGAGGUAAUUGAAUCAUGGGGGCAGUUUCCCCCAUGCUGUUCUCUCGAAAAGUGAGUGAGUCUCACAAGAUCUGAUGGUUUUAUAAGGGGCUCCUCCCCCUUGGCUCAGCACUUAUCCUUCCUGCCGCCCUGUGAAGAGGUGCCUUCCACCAUGAUUGUAACUUUCCUGGGGCCUCCCAAGCCAUGCAGAACUGGCUUCUAUGAGGCUGUCUUGUAGGAUGCCCAUGACGAUCCUCCUGACACUAAGAUGAGAAAACUAAGGCUCAAAGGGACACCUGGCUUUCCUAAGACCUGUAAGUGGAAAAGUCAGCAUUUGAAUGGAGAACUCGCAGCUUUCAGAUUCUAGACUUGUUUCACCUCACCAGACUGCUUCUGCUCCUAGUGAUUCCUUCCCUUAGAUUAAGCCUUGCUCUCUUCCUGUGGAAUCAUGAAGAAGAUUAUAUUAGUAAAUCCCUGAACAUUCCCUGAUUGGGGAAUGAGGGUCAAACCAAGGCAAAUGGCAGGAUUGACACUCACAUCAAGGGCUGGCUCAUUAAGGGCUCCGGACCUGGCAAUCGAGUUGCAUUGCAGAUUUUGUAAGUAUGCAAGACCACGCCAGCCACCUUUCCAGGGAGAGACCAUGCAAAGCAGGCAGGUGAUCCAAGGGCUGGGAGUGGUGAGGAGUGCUCCAGCCCCUGAGCAGCUGUCAUCCCAGCACAAAGUGUCAGAAGAGACCUCAAAGUGUGGUCUGCAGAGCAGCAGCAUCUGCAUCACCUGGGAGCUUGUUAGAAAUGCAGAAUCUUCUGAGAGAACCAGACCUGCUGCAUCAAAAUCUGCAUUUUAACAAGAUUGUAACUUGGAUACACAGUAACACUUAAAAAGCAUGGGGCAGAGAGGCUAAGCCAGCAGCUUCUCAUCACACUCCAAUCUGAUGCUGCUAGUGCUCCAAAAAGCUCUCAUAUCCUCACUGACUAGCCUAGGGCUGUGUCUGUCGAUGCAUUAUAUGACACAGAUGAAGACUAUUGUGUACCUUCCUCAAUUUUUACACCCCAUUGUUUCAGCCUCAUGUACACCUUUAAUGCAAACAUCAAUGCAAGAAUUCUUGUGACAUUAAUUUUCUGGAACAACCUGUUUUUCAGAGCAAAUUUCAUUAAGCCAUUUUAAUCCAGAGUUUAAUUUUUUAUACAGCUUGACUAAAUCAUUUCCAUUUUUUUUCCAUUAGAAUGUCUAUUUGUAGUAACAUUAUUUUCAUGGGAUCAAUUAUUUUCUGUUUAAAUUUACAACAGGCAUUUGACUCAUCAAUCUCUUUUUAUAUACCAACUUUUUGCUGAUUCUAACUUCUGCUAUUUGGAGAGGUUUUCUUGUUUGUGUGUUUGAUUCUUUUGUGGCCAUUCUUUCUAUUAAGUGAAAAUCAUCUGGAUCAAAUUUUGUAGAUUUAAAUUUUGUUAUUAGCGAUACCUGUUUUUUUCCUGUCAAUUUUAGCUCAUUACCCAUUCUAGUCAUCUUAACCCUGCUAGUUUUGUUAGUUGCUGAUCACUUUUACCAUACCAGUAAUACGUGGUAGAAGUAAUCACCAGAGUGAAAGCUCUGCAAAGGCAGGAUUUCUGUCCCCCCUUUUUUUUUCUGCCUUAUACUUGAGACUUACUGCAUGGCACAUAGAAAGUGCUCCAUAUGGCCGGGCGCAGUGACUCAUGGCUGUAAUCCUCGCGCUUUGGGAAGCCAAGGCAGGUGGAUCACUUGAGGUCAGGAGUUUGAGACCAGCCUGGCCAACAUGGUGAAACCCUGUCUCUACUAAAAAUACAAAAAAAUUAGACAGGCGUGGUGGUAGGCACCUGUAGUCCCAGCUACUCGGGAGGCUGAGGCAGAAGAAUCACUUGAACCCAGGAGGCAGAGGUCGUGGUGAGGCGAAGUCACACCACUGCCCUCCAGCCUGGGUGACAGAGCAAAACUCCGUUUAAAAAAAAAAAAAAAGAAAGAAAGUACUCCAUAAAUAUUUGUAGAUGGAAAGAAUGAUAUUCACUUAUGAUUUAACCAAAGACUGACGGUUUAUCUAUUUGAUAAAAAGACUGUGAGAAACAGAGAUUGAUGGAUACAGGAGAGAAAGUGGAGAAGAGAGAAGAUGGAGACAGCACAGACACAAGCACAUAAACUUGCACAUGCAGACACACAUUGCACAUGCACAUGCAUGCACAUAGCCACGCACAUAUAAACCCACAUGCAUGCACACAGCCACACACAUAUAAACCCACAUGCAUGCACACAGCCACACACAUAUAAACCCACAUGCAUGCACACAGCCACACACGUAUACACAAACACACAUGCAUGCACACAGCCACACACAUAUAUGUAAGCACCCGUGCAUGCACACAGCCACACACAUAUAUGUAAGCACACAUGCAUGCACACAACCACACACAUAUGUAAGCACACAUGCAUGCACACAGCCACACAGAUACACACAAGCAUGCACAUACACAGAGGCAUAUAUGCACAUUCACUAACAUACACGUAGUCACAGAUACACCCGCAGGUGCAAACGCCUAUAUAUGUGUUCACAUUCAUACGUGGGAGUUAAUAUAUUUGUGCUCACACAAGUGGAGGGUAGAGUUGUGGUUAUUAGACGCUGGGAAGAGUAGAGGAAGAGAAGAUGGGGAGAGGCUGGUUGGUGGACACAAAGUUAAGCUGAAUGAGAGAAGUAAUUUCUACUGUUCUGUAUUACUGUAGGAUGAAUAUGGUUAACAAUAACUAGUGUAUAUUUUCAAAAAGCCAGAAGAGAGGAUCUUGAAUGUUCAUAACACAAAUAAAUGAUAAAUGUUUGAGGUGAUGGAUAUGCUACUCUGAUUUGAUCAUUACACAUUGUAUAAAUGUAUUUAAAUAUCACUCUGUAUCCCAUAGAUAUGUAGAAUUAUUGUGUCAACUAAAAAUUAAAGAAAAAAACCACACAUAUAUGCACACACAGACACGCACAUGAACACACAGACAUACUCAUGCAUAUGCGUAUACAUGCAGAGUUACACAUAUACACAAACACGCAUAUAUGCACCCAUAGACGUGCACAUGAAGACACUUAUGCACAUGUACACACAUGCGUACAGCCACACAAUACACAUAUACACAAAUACCCAUAAAUAUGCACACAUAGCAUGCACACAGAGAUACAUAUGCACACACACAGCCACAUAUGCAAAUGUAUGCACACACAGACACACAUAUGCCCAUACAUAGGCGUAUACACAUACAGAUUCAGAUAUACACAUACAAACACUCAUGUACAUAUGCAAACACAUGUACACACACAGUCUGCUGGCAUAUUGAUGGCUAAACCAAUGCAGGGUAGGGUAAAAUGUCUCUGGUGCAAGGUCAGUAGGAUAAAAACUGCAGGAUCAAAUGGCAUGCUUAACAACACUCCUCUUUGGGGUAUCAGUGUCUCCAUUUUACAACCAGUGCUUAAUCAAAUGCAUAGAGUUGAACCGAAUAUUGGAAAAUGAAUUGCUACUUUUGAAUGAAUCUACUGAAAAAUCAUACUUGUCCUGGGUCAGACCGUGUGAAAAGCACUGGGUAUUAGAGAUGAAAAGUGGUUGGCCCUUUUUCUUUGAAAGCUUAGUCCAGUGGGGAAGAUGGAUGUGGAAGCUGAGCAAUUAAAAUGCAGCUUGAUAAAAGCUGUGCUGAAAAAGCCUCAUGGAGCAGUGGGGGCUGGGAGGGAGCAGGUCUUACACUGAAUGAUCAAGUUUAGUGGGAGCUGUUUAAAUUCUGAGCCAUCAGGCAUUUCUGCUGGAUUCCUUUCAGUGCGUUUGUUAAUCAAUUAUAAAAUAAUAAUAAUGAACACUUCGGGAGAGAGGAUGGAGGUUGAAAGACAGUAGAGGGCUGGACUUGAGGUUGGAAGAUUUGCAGAGGCCUGGAUUGUGCAUUCGACCUUUACAAAUCGAAGCGAGAGGCUUUGCAUCUCUGAACAUCAGGAUUCCACUCUAUAAAAAGGAGAAUGAAAGCAUUCAGUUUAUAGGUUUGCUGUGAGGGCUCAACGAGAAUGUGGAUCCAAAAAAGCUUUGGAAACCAAAAUACCACUAGUUAGCUUGCUGCUUUAUUAUCCAAAAGAGGCUGCAAAGAUUUGAGGUUUGUUUGUAGUUUGUUUGUAGAUUAGUCAGUGUCUACUAAAAUAACAAUGUGUAACAACCAUGCCCAAAUCUUGGUGGCUUAAUAUCUUAAACGUUAUUUUUCUCAUUCAUGAGGCUGUAGGUUGGUUGGAGUUUGGCAGAUGUAGGCUGGAAUUAGCUGGACCUGCCUCCAGGACCUGGGUUGGAUCCAAGUCUUCUGUACACGUCACCUUCUUCUUUUGGGGCCAAUGUUACGUGGGAUUUUAAUUUCAUGGUGCUAGCAGAAGUGUAAGAGGGCAUGCCAACCACGUGAAUACUUUUAAAGCCUAACAUCCUAUAGGCCAAAGUCAGCCAGAGGUCCAAACUCAACUUCAAUAGGCAGGGAAAGUCCUCCACCUACUUUACCAGGGGAGUACUGCAGAGCAAUGACUGAGGAAGGAAAUGUAUAAUCCUAUUAGGGAGGGAGCUGGGGACCAGGAACACAAAUCCCUCAAGGCAGGACUAGUAAUGGUUGGCUUCCCAAGGUUGACAGACUGGGUCUUAAUUCCUGGCACUGCUCCUCUCUAGCCAUGAGACUUUAGGCAAGUUAACAUUUCAGAGCCUCAGUUUCCUCAUCUGUAAAGUGGGCAUAAUAAUAGAAUUCUCACAGAAUUUCCGUGAGGAUUGCCUGAUUCAUGACAACAGCCUUAUAAGCGAUCCCCUUCUUUUACCUCGCAUCUUCUGUAAUCUCUUCUCUAUGCUUCAUCCUUUAAAUACAAAAGUCACCCAUAAAGACAGAAAACAGAUUAGUGGUGGCCAGAGGUGGUGGAUGGAGAGAGGGGGAGAAAUGAGGAGUGCUAAGGGGUAUGAGGUUUCCUUUUGGGGCGAUGAAAAUGUUCUAAAAUUGAUGUGGUCACGGUUGUACAACUGCAAAUAUACAAUCCCUCUGCCUGGAACCUUUUCCCCAAGGUAUCUGCCCCCACCAUAAAUCCUAACUUGCGUACUAUAUAAUGAGGCUUUUCUGGACCACCCUAUUUAAUUACCCACUCCUUUCUGUCCAUGCCUCUCUCUCGAUAUAUUUUCUCUGAGUGUUUGUAGCAACCUGACAUAUUUUGCAUGCUUAUACACUAUGUACUUUAUAUUAAAGCACAGUUAUGUAAUUUA
This 5217-nucleotide long non-coding RNA is filed under the name Pongo abelii (Sumatran orangutan). RNAcentral's name for it is "lincRNA". Lineage: Eukaryota; Metazoa; Chordata; Mammalia; Primates; Hominidae. The record is from RNAcentral.